ACAGUCAAAUCACGCUGAAACACCGGUCCUCGAACGAUCACCGAAGUUAAGCAGCGUAGAGCCAGGUCAGUACUUAGAUGGGGGACCGCUUGGGAACACCUGGUACUGUAAG
RNAcentral lists this ribosomal RNA (112 nucleotides) under Acanthosepion pharaonis. The record is from RNAcentral. Lineage: Eukaryota; Metazoa; Mollusca; Cephalopoda; Sepiida; Sepiidae.